Molecule: long non-coding RNA, 1932 nt
Filed under: Gossypium barbadense (sea-island cotton)
Lineage: Eukaryota; Viridiplantae; Streptophyta; Magnoliopsida; Malvales; Malvaceae
Description: long non-coding RNA (GBAR_LNC004064)
Source: RNAcentral
GACAUGGUGAUAAAUAAUUUUGUAUUUCAAUCAAAUUAUUAAUGUAAAAUGUAAUUUUUUUUUGAUGAACAUGAGAUAAUCCAUUCAAAGAAAAGGAUAAUAAGCAAACAAUGAUAAAAAAAAAACAAAUUAUAGAAAGUCUAAUACAAACUGUACAAGCAGAACAAGACAAGAUUCAAAGGUUUACAAUUCGAUUAUGGAAAAACAGCAUACUACGCUUAGAUCAAACCACAAUUGCCUAACAAAAGGAAGCAAAGACGAAAACCUUCAUCUAUAUGUCCGUGUUCAACCAUUAGAAUAGAGAAGUCGCCAUUAUGCAUAGAACCCUCGUCAUGUCCUCACCUUCGUUGCAAUGGACAUGCUUCAAGCUAACCUAAUCCAAUGGAUGCGAGCAGCUUUAGUUAGGGGUGUAAUCGAGUCAAAUUGAGCUUAAAUAUUGUCAAGCUCGACUUGAAAUUUGAAGUUUGAUACUCAACUGAAGCUCGAUGAAACAUUUAUUUUUAAGUUUGAGAUUGACUCAAGAUAUAAUCGAGCUAUUUGAGCUCGAGCUCAAUUAAGUUCGUUUAUCAAUUUUUAUACUUAAGCUCGAAUUCGAGCUCAAUUAAGCUCAUUUACUAAAUUUCAUACUAAGCUCGAGCUCAACUCAAUAAUUAAACUUAAGAUUAAUAAUAUAUACUAAGAAGAAUAACUUGUGAGCACCUGCAGCUAGAAUUUUUUUUAAAGGGGCUAAAAUUAAAUUAUAAUUUUUUCUAUAAUAAAAAUGUAACUUUUGAAAGAUUGAAUUAAAAUUUUAAUAUUUUUAAAGAGAUUAAAUGUAACUAACUUAAAAUUUUAAAAAUUUAAAAGGCGAAAAUGACCAUCCCCAAGAUUCGGCCUGUGUCUCAUUUAUACUCUUACCUCUAGCAAAACAAGCAAUCCAGGGAUGCCCGAGAAAAUCCUUCACACACAAGGCUUGAAAGCUUGCGUCAAGGAAGAAGCGAGUACAAACCGACUCGAGAGAACUCCUUUAAGGGAGGAGCCACGGGAGACCCUAGGCUAGAUAUAUUACUCUGAACAAACUUACUGGAAAAACAGAGGAUGGUCGGCAAGAGGAGGAGGUAGGAGUGGAGGUAAGGAAGGAGAAGGAAAAAGGAAAAAGUGAAGGAGGAGAAAGCGAGAGAGCUGUUUCCGGCGAGGUCAGCAACGGCAACCCAUUAAAAGACCACACCGAAAGCAACCACGAGAGGCAACAAGGAAGGGGAAAGGAGAAAAAAGGAGGAGGGGGAAAGAGGAAGGGAUGAGAAAAGAAAGUGGACGAUGGUGGAGGAAAAGGGUGAUCGACACCGACCCUAAGUUUGACAGCCGGCAUAAUGGAGCAGAGAAAAGGAGCAGGAAGAAUCAGAAAGCCAGCGAUCGACCUUAAGACCGCCGCCCAACAUCACAAGCUCCCCUCGCAAUUACAAAAUGAGAGAAUAAUACAGGAAUUUGUAGAGAGACAUACAGUAAUACAUCUGACAUGUUUUGUCCCUACAAAAUUGAAGUGCUUAAAAUUUCAAUUUAGGUACCUUCUGCUUCAUCUAUCAUUGACAGGGGGGACUUCUAGGUAAGGUAGGGCCUUGACUCUUAGGUUCAAAUGAUUAAAUCGUUCUUUUAAUCCUUUAAAUAAGUUACAAUUCAAUUUAAGUCUUCUUUUAACACAAAAUUUAUUUCUUUGCCCCCUUAGGUUAAAAAAGUUGUGUUCUUGCAUAUUGUUUCAUUCUUUAGCUCCUGUUCGUUCUUCGAAAAUUCUUUGAAAGAGUUGUUCAUUUUUAACAUGGUUACUUCAUCGUCUACUCCAUGUAUAAAGGAUUGUUUUAAUUUUCUAAUUUUGGUGCAAAUAAUAGUUCUGGUUGUAAUGGAAGAAGCGGCCAAUGAGAUAAUUGCAUGGUGUUAGCCCAUGAAGAGUGACUUCAC